This 678-nucleotide ribosomal RNA is filed under the name uncultured bacterium. Its description in RNAcentral is "bacterial SSU rRNA". It matches the Rfam family "Bacterial small subunit ribosomal RNA", at positions 136 to 810 of the family's 1533-position model. The record is from RNAcentral.
CAGGGGGAUAAGCGGAAGAAAUUCCGUCUAAUACCGCAUAAUACAAUUUGGAGACAUCUCCGGGUUGUCAAAGGAGUGAUCCGGCAGAGGAUGGACAUGCGGCGCAUUAGCUAGUCGGCGGGGUAACGGCCCACCGAGGCUACGAUGCGUAGGGGUUCUGAGAGGAAGGUCCCCCACACUGGUACUGAGACACGGACCAGACUCCUACGGGAGGCAGCAGUGAGGAAUAUUGGUCAAUGGGCGGAAGCCUGAACCAGCCAAGUCGCGUGAGGGAAGACGGUCCUAUGGAUUGUAAACCUCUUUUGCAGGGGAGCAAGGCGCGGUACGUGUACCGCGAAGGAGAGUACCCUGAGAAAAAGCAUCGGCUAACUCCGUGCCAGCAGCCGCGGUAAUACGGAGGAUGCGAGCGUUAUCCGGAUUUAUUGGGUUUAAAGGGUGCGCAGGCGGACUGUUAAGUCAGCGGUAAAAUGUCGGUGCUCAACACCGGCCGGCCGUUGAAACUGGCAGCCUUGAGUGAGCGAGAAGUAUGCGGAAUGCGUGGUGUAGCGGUGAAAUGCAUAGAUAUCACGCAGAACUCCGAUUGCGAAGGCAGCAUACCGGCGCUCAACUGACGCUCAGGCACGAAAGCGUGGGUAUCGAACAGGCUUAGAUACCCUGGUAGUCCACGCAGUAAACGAU